UUUAACAAGAUGAGGAACAUCAUUCUGUUGAUUCUGAUGCUGCACUGCGGCCAAGCCAGCAUUCUUGGUAAAAGUGUUGUCCAGACUCCUUCUGAUCUCCUGAAGAAAGAAAAUGAAGUUGCCGAGAUCAAAUGUACAAACAAUGUCCAAAACUAUGAUGUCACACAAUGGUACAAGCAAAGCCAGAUCACCAAGGACCUUCAGUUCAUGGGAUACCUGAAUAUUAAACAAGUGGUCAAGGAGAAUAAAUUUAAUGACAAGAUCAAACUGGAUGGAGAUGGAAGAAAUAAUGUCACUCUGACUAUCAACACGCUCACAGUGAAUGACAGUGCAGUGUAUUUCUGUGCAGCGUAUUACACAGUGCUCAGAAUCAGCUCGGUCUGA
Carassius gibelio (silver crucian carp) is the source of this 384-nucleotide non-coding RNA. The record is from the annotation of a RefSeq genome assembly. Lineage: Eukaryota; Metazoa; Chordata; Actinopteri; Cypriniformes; Cyprinidae.